This 64-nucleotide transfer RNA is filed under the name Austinogebia wuhsienweni. RNAcentral's name for it is "tRNA-His". The record is from RNAcentral. Lineage: Eukaryota; Metazoa; Arthropoda; Malacostraca; Decapoda; Upogebiidae.
GUUUAAGUAGUUUAAAAAAAAUAUUGGUUUGUGGGACCAAAGAUAUAAAUUAUUAUCUUAGACU